CUCUCUCUCUCUCUCUCCGUUUAUUCCUCUUCGCAGAACCUCCAUCAAGUUCUUUAUGCUUCAACACUUAAUUUCUUACUUGUUCCUCUUAUUUCCAGGAGGCUACUAGAUUUUUGCAAUCAAAAAAUAGAGGUAUUGAUCAAGAAGUCAAAUACAAGCCUCUACCUGCAGGUCCAAGCACUAGCACUCGUUCAGAGACCAAGGAAUCUGAAAAAGCAAAGGUCUCUAUUCUUGAGAAUAUUUACUGGAAGGAAGUUGGUGUACUUUCUGCAGUGUGGAUUGUUGUCCUUGGACUGCAGAUCGCCAAGGUUUUAAUCAGCUUUGUGCAUAUUUUUUUUCUAAAAGUACUUUAUGAUUAGUUUUCCUUUGUUUCUCGCAUCAAUGAGCUAGAUUGAUGGAUUUCUCUUGUGAUGGAUACAAAAUCAUACAACUACUUGUUCGGUGCUGUAUUGGGUACUAAACCUAUUGCAGAUCACAAUAACUGUUUGAGUGACUUCAUAUAAAGCCGUGAACCUGUACAAAGGGCAGAGAGUGAUCACAUCAAAAGGAGAAGCAGACACAAAUUGGCGAGUGCACCAGCUGGUUCUUUAUAGUCCAAUCAAAUCAUCAUCAUGAUAAGCACCUAAUCCACAAAUUAGUGGCAUGCAGUCUGAUAUGGACUGAGAAAUUAGCUCAAUUUGUUUGACAUUUUGGCCUCUGAAUUAAUCAAGUAGUAUGCUCUUGGGCUAGCUGAUGCUGCUCUAUAUAUAUAUAUAUAUGUUUUUU
Long non-coding RNA from Carya illinoinensis, 765 nucleotides. RefSeq lists it as uncharacterized. The transcript is spliced from 4 exons. The record is from RefSeq and is a predicted model, not a curated record. Lineage: Eukaryota; Viridiplantae; Streptophyta; Magnoliopsida; Fagales; Juglandaceae.